GCAUUGGUGGUUCAGUGGUAGAUUUCUCACCUGCCACGCGGAAGACCCGGGUCCGAUUCCCGGCCAAUGCA
This is a non-coding RNA of Danio rerio (zebrafish), 71 nucleotides long. NCBI's taxonomy places the organism in Eukaryota, Metazoa, Chordata, Actinopteri, Cypriniformes, Danionidae. The record is from Rfam.